This 319-nucleotide RNase P RNA is filed under the name Allobrachymonas sp. RNAcentral's name for it is "RNase P RNA component class A". It matches the Rfam family "Bacterial RNase P class A". From Rfam's summary of the family: Ribonuclease P (RNase P) is a ubiquitous endoribonuclease, found in archaea, bacteria and eukarya as well as chloroplasts and mitochondria. Its best characterised activity is the generation of mature 5'-ends of tRNAs by cleaving the 5'-leader elements of precursor-tRNAs. Cellular RNase Ps are ribonucleoproteins. Lineage: Bacteria; Pseudomonadati; Pseudomonadota; Betaproteobacteria; Burkholderiales; Comamonadaceae. The record is from RNAcentral.
AAAGCCUGCCAGACCGCCGCUGGUGCAAGCGUGGAAACACAGCACCAGAGGAACGUCCGGACUGCACAGGGCAGCGCAGGAGGUAACACCUCUCCACCGCAAGGUGCGGAUCAGAGCAACAGAGACGAGCCGGUUCAGUCCGGGUGAAACGGGCAAUCUCUGCGCGCAGCAAUGCCAAAUAGGCCAGCGAUGACGUGGCUCCGCGGAGCUGGCGGGUAGGCAGCACCGAGCCGGAAGGCGACUUCCGGCCCAGAGGAAUGGCGGUCACGCGGCGGGCAACCGCCGUGCACAGAAUCCGGCGUACCGGCAGGCUUUACAU